CGCAAUCGCCAGGGAAUUGAGACAGUUAAAUUUCACUAAAAUUGUUUCAUUAGCACCGGAGGUAUUAUAAGACGAGACUCUGGCAUAGCUAUAUUAUUUGUGAAUAAAAUAGAUUCAUUAAUAAAUUAUAUCUCGACACAUAUACCUUUUGUAGUAAUUUUUAUAUUAUUCUCUCUCUCUCGAUAUAUAUAUAUAUUUCAUAAAGAUUUGAUCACCUCAAUAAAAUAAAUAAAAAAAGAUAUCAAUAUUUUAGAAUAAACAAUAGAAAAAGGAGCACGUUGAUUAUAUUAAAAAUCAGGGAUAAGAAUCAUUUUCGUUUAUCAUGGGUAAGGACAUCAUCGCUGACAUAAUAACCUCUAUACGAAAUGCUGACAUGAAUAGAAAAGUAAUGGUUCAAAUACCAUUUACUAACAUUAACG
Molecule: non-coding RNA, 419 nt
Organism: Lupinus albus (white lupine)
Lineage: Eukaryota; Viridiplantae; Streptophyta; Magnoliopsida; Fabales; Fabaceae
Source: the annotation of a GenBank genome assembly